RNAcentral lists this ribosomal RNA (514 nucleotides) under Neocucurbitaria unguis-hominis. Its description in RNAcentral is "eukaryotic LSU rRNA". The stretch from base 139 to 292 matches the Rfam family "5.8S ribosomal RNA". The record is from RNAcentral. Lineage: Eukaryota; Fungi; Ascomycota; Dothideomycetes; Pleosporales; Cucurbitariaceae.
GGGGGGGAACUUCGGUUUCCCCUGUCUGAACCCUUGUCUUUUGCGUACUAUUUGUUUCCUCGGUGGGCUUGCCUGCCGAUAGGACAACCAUUAAACCUUUUGUAAUUGCAAUCAGCGUCAGAAAAACAUAAUAGUUACAACUUUCAACAACGGAUCUCUUGGUUCUGGCAUCGAUGAAGAACGCAGCGAAAUGCGAAAAGUAGUGUGAAUUGCAGAAUUCAGUGAAUCAUCGAAUCUUUGAACGCACAUUGCGCCCCUUGGUAUUCCAUGGGGCAUGCCUGUUCGAGCGUCAUUUGUACCUUCAAGCUCUGCUUGGUGUUGGGUGUUUGUCCCGCGAUUUUGCGUGGACUCGCCUCAAAGCAAUUGGCAGCCGGCGUACUAGCCUGGGAGCGCAGCACAUUUUGCGCAUCUCGUCUUGAACGCUUGCGUCCAUUAAGCCUAUACUUUAACUCUUGACCUCGGAUCAGGUAGGGAUACCCGCUGAACUUAAGCAUAUCAAUAAGCGGGGAAAAAA